AGGUGGUUUUCAGCCCUGCAAAGUUUUCCUGACUCUCGGUCAGUGCUGGCACCAGCUGUAACUGAACCAGUUUCACACUUUAGCCCCUUUCUCAAGCAGUCUGAAUCUACAACCUGACUGAUCCAUAAUGAUAAAUCUAUACACACUGGAAAUUAAGAUGCUCUAAUUCACAAGCAACAAACUGAGCGCAGAAAACACUGUGACUGGCUGCCAGGGACAUACUGAGAAAUUCCCAUUUUCCCCUUUUCCACGAGCACUCAAACACAUAAGGCAGAAGGAUGAGGUAAUGUGGAAAUACAGACAAACCUCUCCCAGCCCUGGGAGCUGAUGUGCCUUCAGCAGAAACGUGUAGUUACCAAAACCUGCUCUCCCUGCAGCUCCCCUUGCAACAGCCCAAACAGCAACGUGCUCCUUCGGGAUGCUUCAACCAUUAGGGCACACCUAAGCCUUCAGUAGGCAAACUUCCCACAUGCCAAAGCAAAAGUUUUCCCCCCCAAAAUCUCUAUAUGGGGCUUUAUUCAGCUUCUAAUGGGUCCUCCAAACAAGUCAUGAAAGAAGCAAGAGUUGCAACAUCAAAACUAGGGUUUCUCUGGGUCACAUUUUAAAUACUUAUCCCUGAGCUUCUGUGUAUUGCAAACAACACACCGUGAACCCAGAGAAACGCCACAGCUUGAUACUGACAUCCCAUGUAUUACCCUUGAUUUACACAUCAUCUACAACUUAAAAAUUAGCUUCAUACUUAAACUAGUUCCCCAAGUUUCCCCCUUUCUCCUGCCUUUUAUGUGGCAGGGAUGAUUGCCGCUUAUUAUCCUGAGAAAGAACAACAUUUUCACAGACACCAAGCUUCAUAGCUUCAAAUCAAAACCAAGAAAGAAGAAAGAAUGAACGGUAAAUAGCACAUUCACAGGAGAUCUUUUUUUUUUUUUCCAUUUUUUUCAUUUAAAAAGAUGUAGUAAAGGUAAAAGAAAUUCAAGUUUUUUUAAAAAAAGGUUGGUUUGAAGGACAAGACUUAAACUCCUUCACCUGAGGCGACUGUGUUCUGUGCAGAGGCCUGAAGAGCAAGAUCUGAUGUGUGUGGCAGAGGGAGGGACGGGCAGCGAGUGACACUGAUGUGAGCUUGAGCCUUAUGGGCAACAGCAGGGUGAGGGCACAACCACCCAGGGCUCCCCCCGGGAGCAAGAGCAGCCCUGCAGACACACUGCAGUGCCCAGAGCUCUGCUUGCUCCGACAGGCUCACUCCAAAGCAACACCAGAACACCAGGAAAACGGGUGUUCCUGCAGUUGUCAAUGCGACUGACUGCUUUGCACUGAUCACCCUAAAAAUACCAUGUUCCCCUUUAGUGUUUGGGUGAUGGGAGCUCAGGAUUUGAGGUACAGAAGGAUCCAGAGCUGCACACCACUGACCCAAAGCAUGCAGUAGCUCUGCACAGCUCUGCGGGCUAGCAGGCAGAUGAGAAUGAUGAACACGACCGCAUUAUUAACAAUUAGAAAGUAGUUAAUGCACAUGCAAAAUGGCUGGAGAGUUACCUCCUGCUGCAGCGGUUUUGCCCUGCCCAGAGCCCAUCAGUUUCGGGGUACCUGGCACCUCUGAGCACCCUGGUUGUCCCCCAGCCCUCUCGAGGGGCUGGGCACGCUGAGGACAAGGACUCGCUACUGACACACACAGUGGGGUCAAGACUCAGCAGCCUGACCCAAAGGCAGGCAGUGGAAGAAAACUCAGUUGCUUUCAAAAAGCUUUUGUUCAGGUCCCAGAGUCUGGCCACUUGCACUGGGACUCAGCCCCAUCAGCUGGAGCACCAGUUUCUGCUCUGUUCUCUGCACUGGGUGACCAGCUCCAACCUGUAAAACAGCAACUAGGACACCUCAGCAAAGCCCUUCUGAAUGCGUGAGCCUGAGCUCUUCAAAUUUAUGUCCCAAAUCUCUGUUCGGAUUAAAAGUAACUCUUCAGCCUUCCACCUGCACAAAUGCUAUGAAGGAGAGGAGGGGGUCAGUCAGCCAAUUUAUCUUUCAAAUCGGGGAUAAAAAUUGACUUGUCAUGGCAGAAAAUUCUACCAAAGACUAUUAUUGUUGAUUGAUUCCUCUAUGACAGAAGGUCAGAUAAGCAAGAGCAGAUAGAUACCAAAGAUAAUGAACUUCCCCCUACUAGCAUUAAGCACAAAUAAAAUAUGAGUCCCUGUAAACUGAAUGUUACGUGAAGAAUGGAACAAAAAUUCCAACCUUUCCAGGGUGUCCUUCAAACCAAAUUCACAAAUACAUCUAGUGACUGACCUAACGUCUCUACAUCUCUAGCUACAUUCCUACCUUCUCAUAAUACCUGAGUUUGCAAUGCAACACAUUCACUUUACCCUGUUUAAAAAAUACAAGUCAUUAGAGGACUUGGUGCAGAAGAUAUUAAGAAUGACUGUCCGGUGAGCUAGAUUCUGGUUUGAUACUUUAGCUUUUUCCUUACUUGUCAGUUUAGCAAGGCUUUUCUACUCCCUAAAACAAAUGGGUUAUUUGGAAACGGAUGCUGCUGCCAAUCAACCUUUGUAAAAUUUGCUUCAUACAACAGAAAGUAGAACAUUCUUGUCCAUUCAUCAUCAGAAAUGAAUUUAGGGGUUUUCGUCAUUGUUGGUACAGCAUUAGUCUUGGGAGUCUAUUUUGGAUAAACACAGAAUACCUAAUAGAUUAUUUUUGUCCGAUAUUUGGCAAUAUGAUGACCACUUUUAUGUACACUAAUUAAAACAAACUCUUAUUCACCAACAGAUCAUAAUAAUUCAGUAACUGCAGAAUAGAAUUACUCCUAUGCAAUUGUAACAGUUCCUUGAGUGUAUAAAACAGCGAGCCAGAAGAUAACCCGUAAUAAAAAGAUCAUAUCAAGCUAUUUGGAAAUCAAACUUAAAAGCUGAGAAAUACUUCCUAACUUACAAACAGAUAUACUAACAUCUUCCCAUUUACACUUGAGGUAUGUAUGCAGAAGGCUUUCCUGAGAAAUACUUGCUUGUCCCAUUUGACAGUGAGAAAGUAAAUGAGAUUCACGGAACCACCUUUGGAUUGUGGAGCUCUGUCAAGCUGAACUGCUGCUGGGCCCAGCAGC
This is a long non-coding RNA of Strigops habroptila (Kakapo), 3076 nucleotides long. The record is from Ensembl. NCBI's taxonomy places the organism in Eukaryota, Metazoa, Chordata, Aves, Psittaciformes, Psittacidae.